Molecule: ribosomal RNA, 501 nt
Filed under: uncultured bacterium
Lineage: Bacteria
Description: partial 16S ribosomal RNA
Rfam family: Bacterial small subunit ribosomal RNA
Source: RNAcentral
ACUCAAAGGAAUUGACGGGGGCCCGCACAAGUGGUGGAGCAUGUGGUUUAAUUCGACGCUACGCGAAGAACCUUACCCAGGUUUGAAAUUCACAGGAAGCAUGCAGAGAUGUAUGUGCCCCGCAAGGGGCCUGUGGACAGGUGCUGCAUGGUUGUCGUCAGCUCGUGCCGUGAGGUGUUGGGUUAAGUCCCGCAACGAGCGCAACCCUUAUCCUUAGUUGCCAUCGGGUGAAGCCGGGCACUCUGGGGAGACUGCCGCCAUAAGGCGGAGGAAGGUGGGGAUGACGUCAAAUCAGCAUGGCCCUUACAUCUGGGGCUACACACGUGCUACAAUGGUCGGUACAACGGGCUGCGAGACCGCGAGGUGGAGCGAAUCCCUUGAAAGCCGAUCUCAGUUCGGAUUGCAGGCUGCAAUUCGCCUGCAUGAAGUCGGAAUCACUAGUAACCGCAGAUCAGCUACGCUGCGGUGAAUGCGUUCCCGGGCCUUGUACACACCGCCCGU